CCCUUAGAUGUUCUGGGCCGCACGCGCGCUACACUGACGAUGGCAACGAGUUUUUCCUUCGCCGAAAGGUGUGGGUAACCUUUUGAAACAUCGUCGUGCUGGGGAUAGAUCAUUGCAAUUUUUGAUCUUGAACGAGGAAUUCCUAGUAAGCGCGAGUCAUCAGCUCGCGUUGAUUACGUCCCUGCCCUUUGUACACACCGCCCGUCGCUACUACCGAUUGAAUGGUUUAGUGAGGACUCCUGAUUGGCGCCGCCGCCCCGGCAACGGAGCAGCGGACUGCCGAAAAGUUGUUCAAACUUGAUCAUUUAGAGGAAGUAAAAGUCGUAACA
Molecule: ribosomal RNA, 329 nt
Filed under: uncultured eukaryote
Lineage: Eukaryota
Description: partial 18S ribosomal RNA
Rfam family: Eukaryotic small subunit ribosomal RNA
Source: RNAcentral